AUAUCAGUCAUGCAUAGCAUAUCAAUAAGCGGAGGAAAAGAAACUAACAAGGAUUCCCUUAGUAACGGCGAGUGAAGCGGGAAGAGCUCAAAUUUGAAAUCUUCAAGGUUUUACCUUGACGAAUUGUAGUUUAAAGAAGUGUUUUCUGUUGAAGUUUUGGUAAAAGUUCUUUGGAAUAGGACAUCAUAGAGGGUGAGAAUCCCGUAUUUGACCAUUACUUUCAGCUUUGUGAUACACUUUCAAAGAGUCGGAUUGUUUGGGAAUGCAGUCCAAAAUGGGUGGUAAAUUUCAUCUAAAGCUAAAUAUUGGCGAGAGACCGAUAGCGAACAAGUACCGUGAGGGAAAGAUGAAAGGAACUUUGAAAAGAGAGUUAAACAGUACGUGAAAUUGUCAAAAGGGAAGCGUUUGACACCAGUGUUGUUUUCUCGAAAAUCAAUUAAAAAGAGUUGGAUUUUGUGUUGUAUUGACUUUAUCAGCUUUCUUCACUCUUUUCCAGCUUUUUUUAAUGCACUUUUCGUUUAACAAGUCAACAUCAGUUUCUUUUGUUGUAAAAAGGUCAUUGGAAGGUGGCUUUCUCUCUCGGAGAAAGUGUUUAUAGCCUUUGACUCAUGCAAUCGGAGAGACUGAGGUCUGCAGCGUAGAUCCUUCGGGGUUAGAUACAUUUGUGCUAAGUUAUAGCUUUUCAUAUGACAACUUGUUGACUAUGUUUAGUCUUGUAGCUUACUCGCUUAUGCUAUUUUACCUACGCUUAGGAUGUUGAACUCUAUCACACACA
Molecule: ribosomal RNA, 775 nt
Filed under: uncultured Neocallimastigales
Lineage: Eukaryota; Fungi; Neocallimastigomycota; Neocallimastigomycetes; Neocallimastigales
Description: partial large subunit ribosomal RNA
Rfam family: Eukaryotic large subunit ribosomal RNA
Source: RNAcentral